AGCAGCCGCGGUAAUUCCAGCUCCAAUAGCGUAUAUUAAAGUUGUUGCAGUUAAAAAAGCUCGUAGUUGAAUUUCGAGAUCAGUACGCUGGUCGUGCCUUCGGUAUGUACUGGUGUCACUGGUUUCUCCCUUCUGAAGAACCGUUAUGCCAUUAAGUUGGUGUGGCGGGGAAUCAGGACUGUUACUUUGAAAAAUUAGAGUGUUUAAAGCAGGCUCGCGCUUGAAUACAUUAGCAUGGAAUAAUGAAAUAGGACGUUUGACCCUAUUUUGUUGGUUUCUAGGAUCGACGUAAUGAUUAAUAGGGAUAGUUGGGGGCAUUAGUAUUCAAUUGUCAGAGGUGAAAUUCUUGGAUUUAUUGAAGACUAACUACUGCGAAAGCAUUUGCCAAGGAUGUUUUCAUUAAUCAAGAACGAAAGUUAGGGGAUCGAAGACGAUCAGAUACCGUCGUAGUCUUAACCAUAAACUAUGCCGACUAGGGAUCGGAUGAUGUUAAUUUUUUAAUGUACUCA
This 509-nucleotide ribosomal RNA is filed under the name uncultured Glomeraceae. Its description in RNAcentral is "SSU rRNA". It matches the Rfam family "Eukaryotic small subunit ribosomal RNA", at positions 569 to 1082 of the family's 1831-position model. The record is from RNAcentral. Lineage: Eukaryota; Fungi; Glomeromycota; Glomeromycetes; Glomerales; Glomeraceae.